RNAcentral lists this ribosomal RNA (538 nucleotides) under Spatangus raschi. Its description in RNAcentral is "partial 16S ribosomal RNA". It matches the Rfam family "Bacterial large subunit ribosomal RNA", at positions 1854 to 2580 of the family's 2925-position model. Lineage: Eukaryota; Metazoa; Echinodermata; Echinoidea; Spatangoida; Spatangidae. The record is from RNAcentral.
CUGCCUGCCCAGUGACCAAAAAGUUAAACGGCCGCGGUAUCUUGACCGUGCGAAGGUAGCAUAAUCACUUGUCUCCUAAAUAGAGACUGGUAUGAAUGGCAAGACGGAGCUUUACUGUCUCCUCCUCUUUAAUCUGAAAUUCACAACCCCGUGAAGAGGCGGGGAUUCGUUCGUAAGACGAGAAGACCCUGUCGAGCUGCAGUAAAACUUUAACUAUUAUUUACCUCUAGUCUCACCUAAUGUAAUAGAAUUAGUGGAUACCGAGGCAUAACAAAUUAAAAUAAACUUUGAUUGGGGCAAUCCCGGAGAAAGAAAAUCCUCCGUUACUAUAUCGGUUUUAUUUAACCUAAUUUAAAAGAACUAUCAUUCUGAAAUCAUAAAAUGAAGAUGUGAUCCACUUAUAGUGAUCAAAAGAACAAGUUACCGCAGGGAUAACAGCGUUAUCUUUUCUGAGAGUUCAUAUUGACGAAAAGGUUUGCGACCUCGAUGUUGGAUCGGGACAUCCUAAGGGUGCAGAAGCUUUUAAGGGUUGGUCUGU